Long non-coding RNA from Gallus gallus (chicken), 862 nucleotides. NCBI's taxonomy places the organism in Eukaryota, Metazoa, Chordata, Aves, Galliformes, Phasianidae. The record is from Ensembl.
GUUCAAGAAUGCAAAAGGAAGGUCAGAGAUUUUGCAGUGUGCAGUAAGAAAUUUUUUGCACUUGGCAUUGCCAAUUGUAUCUUACAGAAAAUUUCUAAUUCAUUUCAGAGCACUGAAGCUCAGCAUUCUACUCAGUUAUUGGUGACUGGAUUAAAUUUCCAGCAAAACUGUAUGAAAGGAGUCCUGAUAUCAAGAAAUUAACCCAUUAUAUUUACUGGAGACAUGUUGAAACACACAGCAAUGUCCUUCAUUAAACAAGGAGUGGCCUUAAAUAAGGGCAGCUACAUGGAUGGGACUGCCUUACUUUGAAGUACCAGAUAUCUUUUGCUCAUGAUCAGCACCAGAACAACAUUCCAAGCUGAACAUCACCAUCACGUGGUGUAGAAUAUGCUGCACAACUGGUCACUCAAGAAGGAAAUGUGUGUGUGUUUGGGAGUACAACCAUAUUCCCCCUCUGUCUCACCACAUAUCACAGUAGAGCCCUUGCUCUUACCUUGGAUUACGCCCAGCCUGGCAGAACCUGCUUCUGUAAGGGAAAAUGCUGUGAGUAUCUUUCUGCAAAACUGUCACAAACUGCUAAUCAACCAACUUAGUAGCUGUGCCUGGUUGAAGAACUGGAGGAAGCUGGAGGAUGCACAGCCUACAUGUGCUUUAUUGAAAACAGAGACAUAUGAAAAAUAUAUCUUCUAUGAUGGGAUUUUUCAGGUCUGCUGACACUAGAUAAAAUAUGGAUUGUACUGGCAUUCCCUUGUUCCUCCUGCUUCUUGUUCUUUCCAAGACUUGCUUCACCUUUAAUCUGUGUUCCACAGCUUGCUAUCUACAAAACCACUAAAAGAUAAAUCCAUCUGGAUAGCUCAUGAAC